This 161-nucleotide ribosomal RNA is filed under the name uncultured bacterium. Its description in RNAcentral is "partial 16S ribosomal RNA". It matches the Rfam family "Bacterial small subunit ribosomal RNA", at positions 358 to 511 of the family's 1533-position model. The record is from RNAcentral.
GGAAUCUUCCACAAUGGACGAAAGUCUGAUGGAGCAACGCCGCGUGAGUGAAGAAGGGUUUCGGCUCGUAAAACUCUGUUGUUAAAGAAGAACAUAUCUGAGAGUAACUGUUCAGGUAUUGACGGUAUUUAACCAGAAGGCCACGGCUAACUACGUGCCAG